Molecule: ribosomal RNA, 460 nt
Filed under: uncultured bacterium
Lineage: Bacteria
Description: partial 16S ribosomal RNA
Rfam family: Bacterial small subunit ribosomal RNA
Source: RNAcentral
CCUACGGGAGGCAGCAGUGAGGAAUAUUGGUCAAUGGACGCAAGUCUGAACCAGCCAUGUCGCGUGCAGGAAGACGGCUCUAUGAGUUGUAAACCGCUUUUGUACGAGGGCAAACGCAGAUACGUGUAUCUGUCUGAAAGUAUCGUGAGAAUAAGGCUUGGCUAACUCCGUGCCAGCAGCCGCGGUAAUACGGAGGAUUCAAGCGUUAGCCGGAUUUAUUGGGUUUUAAGGGUGCGUAGGCGGUCGGAUAAGUUAGAGGUGAAAGUCCGAGGCUCAACCUCGGAAUUGCCUCUGAUACUGGUCGGCUAGAGAGUAGUAGCGGUAGGCGGAAUGUAUGGUGUAGCGGUGAAAUGCUUAGAGAUCAUACAGAACACCGAUUGCGAAGGCAGCUUACCAAGCUACUACUGACGUUGAGGCACGAAAGCGUGGGGAGCGAACAGGAUUAGAUACCCCUGUAGUC